This 478-nucleotide ribosomal RNA is filed under the name uncultured bacterium. RNAcentral describes it as "bacterial SSU rRNA". It matches the Rfam family "Bacterial small subunit ribosomal RNA", at positions 33 to 507 of the family's 1533-position model. The record is from RNAcentral.
ACGCUGGCGGCGUGCUUAACACAUGCAAGUCGAACGAUGAAAUUCUGACGGAGGCUUCGGCCAACGUGAGGGAUGGAUUAGUGGCGAACGGGUGAGUAACGCGUGAGAAACCUACCUCUCAGUGGGGGACAACAGUUGGAAACGACUGCUAAUACCGCAUAACACUUUAGUACCGCAUGGUACAGAAGUCAAAGCUUUAUGUGCUGAGAGAUGGUCUCGCGUCUGAUUAGCUAGAUGGCGGGGUAACGGCCCACCAUGGCGACGAUCAGUAGCCGGUCUGAGAGGAUGAACGGCCACAUUGGGACUGAGACACGGCCCAGACUCCUACGGGAGGCAGCAGUGGGGAAUAUUGCACAAUGGGGGAAACCCUGAUGCAGCAACGCCGCGUGAGGGAAGACGGUUUUCGGAUUGUAAACCUCUGUCCUCUGUGAAGAAGAAAGUGACGGUAGCAGAGGAGGAAGCCACGGCUAACUACGUG